GAUUUAAUGUAUAGAGAAUUUAAAUAGCUAUAUAAACUUAAUUUCACUAAAGUUGAGUAGAUUAAUAUGUCACUAAAACUGUUACUAUAAAAAAGCAGUUAAGACAAAAUCAUGAAUAAUAUUUUACAUCAAUCACCGAUGUUACUUUUUUUUAAGGUAUGCAGAAUCUGUGGGAGCAAAACAUUAUCAUACUUCAGCCAAACAGAACAAAGGAAUUGAGGAACUCUUUCUUGACCUUUGUAAAAGGAUGAUAGAAACAGCACAAGUGGAUGAGAGAGCAAAAGGCAAUGGCUCUAGUCAGCCGGGAACUGCAAGGCGAGGUGUACAGAUUAUUGAUGAUGAACCUCAAGCCCAGACCAGUGGUGGAGGGUGCUGUUCUUCUGGAUAACUGUUCACGCCUAAGA
Molecule: small RNA, 404 nt
Filed under: Pan troglodytes (chimpanzee)
Lineage: Eukaryota; Metazoa; Chordata; Mammalia; Primates; Hominidae
Description: retained intron
Source: RNAcentral